RNAcentral lists this ribosomal RNA (253 nucleotides) under uncultured bacterium. Its description in RNAcentral is "partial 16S ribosomal RNA". It matches the Rfam family "Bacterial small subunit ribosomal RNA", at positions 524 to 776 of the family's 1533-position model. The record is from RNAcentral.
UACGAAGGGGGCUAGCGUUGCUCGGAAUCACUGGGCGUAAAGGGUGCGUAGGCGGGUCUUUUAAGUCAGGGGUGAAAUCCUGGAGCUCAACUCCAGAACUGCCUUUGAUACUAAGAUCUUGAGUUCGGGAGAGGUGAGUGGAACUGCGAGUGUAGAGGUGAAAUUCGUAGAUAUUCGCAAGAACACCAGUGGCGAAGGCGGCUCACUGGCCCGAUACUGACGCUGAGGCACGAAAGCGUGGGGAGCAAACAGG